This is a long non-coding RNA of Lagenorhynchus albirostris (white-beaked dolphin), 3490 nucleotides long. RefSeq lists it as uncharacterized. Lineage: Eukaryota; Metazoa; Chordata; Mammalia; Artiodactyla; Delphinidae. The record is from RefSeq and is a predicted model, not a curated record. The transcript has 6 exons.
ACAGGAGAAUCAGGCCUGGAUAAGCUGUGUGGACAUCUUAGACCUAUAUAUGACCCCUUUAAUUGGAAUUAAUAUUUGAAAUCUACUCAAGAUUUUCAGUGAGUUAAACAGGGAAAUAAACACAGGAGUAGAGCUUUACCUCUUUAACCUUCAACCAGAUUCAAGGAUGUCGGGCAAAGAAGUUAUUGCUUGGCCCUUCCCCAGGCAAACUCACUUUCCUGGAGGCCUGUCUGCAAUGGCCGGAGGCUAUCUUCUUUGUAGCCAGAACUCUGAGAAUUUGCCUUAAAACAGAAGUGCCUCGGGCUGCCCUGGGGAACCUGGCAUCUCUUGAAAUCCUCUUAUGAAAGACAGCUUUUGCCUAAAGCUCUAAGUAACUCAUAAAAGGCAAGGGAAGAUACUGGCAAUUAUCCAAGGGAUUUCAGCAAGAGAAAUGAAUUUCAGGCAAAAAUCUCUUAGAGCACUGCUUCUCAAUUUUUAUUGUGCAGGGAUCUUGUUAAGAUACAGACUUUAACGAGGGAUCUUGUUAAAAUGCAGAUUCUAGUUGGUUAGGCUUGGGGUGGGGAUGGAGCUUCUGCGUUUCUUACAAGCUCUCAGGUGAUGCUGAUGUAGCGAGCUUUUAGAGCAUCCGCUUCCUGACAGAAUUUGCCCCAAUUCUCCACUUGCUAUCUUUGGAGCAGAGGAUCUCAGAAUUUAGGUCACAUUAGAAUUACCCGAGGAACUUGGAAAAAAUGCAACGUUUGAUUUGGUAGGCCUGGGUGGGCUCUAGGAGUCUGCUUUUCUAACAAAUACCUCAGCUGUCCCAUUUUUCUAAGAAAUGUUGCUUUAGGGGAAGUACAGUGGUGACCCAAGAUACCCAGAAAUGCCCCAGAAAUGCACAAUAAAGCCAGUACACAGCCUUAGGGACCAGUAAGUCUUAGCUAGUGAGAGGUUUCUUUAAUUGGGGAACAGUGUAAGAUUCAAUUAAAGAAGUUCAGCUCAUAAUUCAGCAAAAUAAAAUAAGGUUAUUAGGGGUCUCACAUGGGCUUCUUCAUUGCUAGGCAGAGAAAAGGAGUCUCAAAUCUCCUCUGAUUACACUCCUGCUAAUUUCAUGCUGAAGGACCUGCUAUGUGACACAAGUAGGAGCAAGCGGAGAGUGACAGUAACUGACACCCGAAACUCCAGGAAGAGGGCAUGUAUAAGAGCCCCUAGAGAUCCAGACACCCCAGUAAGAAGUAAGAGGACACAUGUAGCUCCACAGCCAAAACUGCGUCAUAUUUUUUGCUUUCAGAAACUGUUUCUAUGGAAACUCACUAGAAAGGUCUCUUGGUCUCUGCAAGCAGAGAUCAUUUUGAGAGAUGUGUGGGGUUUUUUGUUUGUUUGUUUUGUUUUUGUGUGAACGUAAAGUAGCAAUAUAAACGUGAGUAAAAUUGAUGCAUGAUGUAAACAGAGUUGUGCUCCUCUAUGAUCUCCUACUUAGAUAACCCCUUGGGGAGGAAGAGAUGACAUGGUUUCAGAUGGCCAUCCUGAACUACAAGAGGACAUAAGGUGAUGGAGAAAAACAAGGGACAGUUGGUCUCAAAAGAUUAAAAUUGAAUACAAUCCAGUAGAGAAACAGUAACUUUUUAAAUUGACAAAAACCUUUGCAGAGGGAAAAAGGAGAAAACAACCUAUGAAAUAAAUUUAAAACCCUGGAGAACGUUCCUUGGUUUGUCUAGCUCUUGAAGAAGAAUCCUGUGGACCUUGCUCCUUCAUCGUGCUAGAGGAAAGAUGAUAGGAAAUAUUAAAACAGGAAAAGGAAGAGCAGAUCUUCUACAGGACAGUUUUAUUUCUACAAAAUGACUUCAGGUGCAAUCCUCCAGACAUCACCAAAGGCUUCAACUACAGAAAAUGAAAUGAAACAAAAGCUCUAAUACGAACUUCAAAGAAAGCAAACAGAUACACAUGGAGCCCAGAGGAUGGUACAAACAUUUUCUCCAUGAUUCACCUUUCAGAUCAUGUUAAUUUCACCCAAGGACUGGAGAGCUCUCUAGGUCCAGGAGUCAGAGUUCCUAACCAAUGGGAGAGAGAGAAGGUUGAACAGCCCCCUUUAUUUCAGUGGGAGAAAAAUCUCUGGAAUGUUAUUUGCAUAACUGUGACCUCAAUUCAAUACAACAUGUCCAAGCAGGAUAAUUGGAUUUGGCUUAUAAGAAACAUGAGAAAAGAAGAUUUACAAGCAACCUAUGCUAGAUUUAAGAUCUUCUACAGAGAAUUGACUUAAUGUGGUCUCCAUCUUCUCCACUGACAGAAUCCCAUGAUUUGGACUAGCGCACAAUGAAAGAAUUGGAUUAGAUGUAAAAGGUUUCUAGAAAAAACUCUGAGUCUUCCGCCCUGAUGAUCUAUGAGUAGGAAAUGUGAUAAUAUAGCAGCCUACCCAGAGAGCUUUAUUCCAUGCUGCCUAUUUUCAGAAGGAAUAAUGACUUCCCAACUGGAGAGUCACCAUGUUCAUCACUUACAGAGGCUGGGUACUUGGCAAUCUCGACCAAAACAUUAGCUAAGGAUACCUGGGUAAUAAAGGAAAGCCUUCCUUAUUGAUAUUUGCAAAUUACAACAAGUCUUGAUGUGGCUUUGAGUUAUAUAUCACCUAUAUGAUCUAUUGUAAUUAGCUAUAUAUAUGACAUAUAACUGUACAUAUGACACCUGUGCACACGACAGAUAUGUGUAGAUGUAUAUUACCUAUAUGAAAGAAUAUUUGGAAAAUUUUCUUUUCAAGAAAGUAUUUCUGUAGAUUUGGAGACAAUUUUCUUGCUCCACAAUUGUGUAUUUCUCCUCUUAUUCAAAAUACUCUUCCAUGUAAGAAAGUGACCAAGGGGACUUCCCUGGCGGUCCAGUGGUUAAGACUGUGUGCUUUCACGGCAGGGGGUGCGGGUUCUAUCCCUAGUCAGGGAAUUAAGAUCCUGCAUGCCGCGCAAACACGGCCAACAAAGAAAAGAAGAAGAAAAAAAGAAAGUGACUAAAAUGCAAUUGUCUUCCUCAUCAAAGGAAAUUAGAUUAUUUAUAUUAUAAGUCUCCCUCUCUCCACCAAGUCAAACAAUAUUAGCCUCCCGUUUCAUCCUAAAACAAAAAGGCUUCAGGAGCAGGGGUGAAGGGGCCACAGGAAAGAGGUACACUGGAAAGAACCCUGAAAUGUGGGACCCAUUUCCACCUUUGCCCUGGAGCAGCUGUGUGCCUUUGGGCAAAUCAUGUGACCUCUUAGGGCUUCAGCUUCCUGGUCUGUAGAAUGUAGAGUUGAACCAGAGAGUUUCUUAGGCGUGUGUGCACAGAAGAAUCACGUGUGUCUAGCCAGUGUGCACAGAAGAAUCACCUACAGUCUUCGAAAGAGAUGAGUUCCUUGAAAUGGGUAAUGGUGUUUUAAACCCAGAGCUUACCACAGGAUGUGACACGUAGUUAAGGUUGCCAGAUUUAGCAAAUAAAAACACAGGAUGUUCAGUUAAAUUUGGAUUUCAAAUAAAUGAUAAAUACAUUUUUAACAUGA